This is a non-coding RNA of Vicia faba (fava bean), 195 nucleotides long. The record is from the annotation of a GenBank genome assembly. Lineage: Eukaryota; Viridiplantae; Streptophyta; Magnoliopsida; Fabales; Fabaceae.
AUGGUAGUCAGAAGGUUAGGAAAUUUGGUUAGUCAAUUAGGGUUGAUUUUUGUUAUGUCUUGCACUCAAAAAAUUUUCCUCUUCAUUUUAAUCCUAAUUGGCUUAUACUUCAUCAUAACAUGCAUACAUAUAUGUCAUAAGAUCUAUACUCAUGGAAUUAAGGGUUUUCUCUAUGAAAAGAACUGUGAAAGAUGA